RNAcentral lists this long non-coding RNA (2790 nucleotides) under Paramuricea clavata. Lineage: Eukaryota; Metazoa; Cnidaria; Anthozoa; Malacalcyonacea; Plexauridae. The record is from RNAcentral.
CUAGUGUUGCUUAAUUUAAAUAUAUAGUUCUGCAUAUAUAGGAAUCAUGAGCUUAAGUCGUAUGAUAACUGACGACGACAUGCUUGCGUGCAAGCACACCAUGCCACCACUGCUCUUACUAUUAUACCUGAUUUACUUCUAUAAUAACACACGACAUGAUUAUUUCAAACCUAUAUUAUUUGUAAAUCUUUCAAAUGUUGUAAUGUAAUUUGGUGCUAAAACAAAUAACCGAAAAUUUCAAUAUAAAGGUUUGAUUAAAAUUAUUACAAUAAUAUACGGUCAGUUUUUUGAAAUAAAAUUAUAGUGGUUUUAAAAUAUAUUCUCUUUAAUUUUUCAGCACAAUAAAUUUUUUCUUUGCUUUGGUGGAAAGUCUUGUCCCUUCGAAUCUGUUAUUAAUACUGUUCUAAUAUUGCUUUAUUUACAGGUGCUCCAAUAUGUCCAGUUCAUUUGUGUAAACAGCGUAAAUGUCGUUAUGGGUUUAUGAAAGAUAAGAAUGGUUGCCCAACUUGCCAAUGUAACAUUAGACGUAAGCACUGCAGUAAUAUAGCCGCGAUGCAUGUGUACCAUGGUUCUCUUUUACCAUUUUAAAAUGAAACACACCACAUAUAAGAAAUAAAUAAAUCAAACUUGAACAAUUAAAUCAUAUUAUAACUUACAGUUAUAGAACGUACAGCCCCUCCCCCUUAAUUGCUUGACGUAAUUCAAGAUUUUUUCAAAUUUUGGCGCCAUUUUGUUAUUUUCCGUGCAGACGCGGAUUUGUGCGGCGCUCUCACUAUAUCCAAAAUCUGUUUCAGAAAACGCACGAAAUAAGUCCUAGGGGUAAAAAAAUACAAAAAUGUUCUGGGUGAUCGAGAAUUCCUCGUGGAGGACACCUCCCUACUAUUAUACAAUCAUACAACACCACAUUGAACUUUUAGUCACCAUGGAACAACCAUCUGUCAUCUCUUCACAGUUCACACUCAGUAUAUAAUAAUAUGGUCCCUUUCUGUAGAUGCCGCCUUCCCCACUGACGAAUUCUUAAAAAAGGCUCUGCUACAUGAUGCAGCACUGAAAUGAUUUCUCUACAAAUAUUGCUUUAUAUUUUAACAGCACCAAUCUGUUUACCUCGCUUCUGUAUAAGGCCUUGUCCCCUUGGAUAUGUUACCGAUAGAAAUGGUUGUCAAACUUGUAUUUGCAAACGUAAGUUAACUUAACUUGUUUUUAAGUAGUGACAUACCCAGGUAUAAUAUACAAAUAAUGAAUGUUUAUGAGUGCAAUGGUAAGAAUAUUUUCAUGAGGUGAAAGAUGGAAUGUUCCAUUCAACGAGGCGACAGCCGAGUUGAAUGGAACAUUCCAUCUUUCACCGAAUGAAAAUAUUCUUACCAUUGCACGAAGAAACAUUCAUUAUUUGUUUUAUAUAAUACCAAAAUAGACUAAUAGAUUUGUAUGAGAAGCAUUUUGAGGGAUGCAAUUUAUCGAAAACACAAAGAGUGCAAUUGUACUAUACGUUUUAUUCCAUUGCACUCGGGGAGAGUGCAAUGGAACGUGUUCAUUGCACUCUUGGGAAAUGGAAUUUUUUAUUCAAUAUCACGUGACCAUAAACAGCCAAUUAAAUGAUUAGAAUUUAAUAAGGUAUUAUAUAAUAUAUAUUAUGGCAUUAUAUUUGUUAACACUUAUUGACUAGGACCGAAAGAAAAAGUAGCCUAUAUGUUUUGUGCACUCGAGCCUGCCAAUGCUUUUUGCAGACUUGGUAUAUAGAAAUAAAUAAAUAAAUAUCUGCAACAAUAUUGAGGGGUCAGCCCGCCCUCCCAAAUCGGCAUGAAAUUUUUAACAAGGGCUGAGAUGCCCCCCCCCCCCCAUGAGCCCCCCUCUUCUACAACCCUGAGUGUAAUAAUAUAGCAACAACUACUGCUCUCGAUUUUAGGAUCGACGCGUCUAUAUUUGAAUUUUGUAUUACUGAGCACGCAAUUAUGGUUAUAUUAUAAACUCGACUCAUUGGUGAGCUGACCAGUCUUAGGGAGGGGGGGGGGAAUACAAAAAUGCUCUGGGGGAGAAUUCCCCCUGAUCUCCCUAUUAUUAUAGAAUCAUAUAUAAGACACCACACCUAACUUGUUGGAGACUUAUUGGGAGUGUCCCUCAUCUUUAUGCAUAACCUCUUAUACUAAUUGUCCCUCAUCUUUAUGCAUAUAACCUCUUAUACUGUAUUGAUGUUCAAUUAAAUAUUUUUAACAGAAAUGAAAAAUCAAAUCAAGGGUAACCUCAUUAACGAACAUCCCAAUAAUCAUUAGUAUCAAAAAGCAAACGCGCCUUUUCAUUCCAACUUAUUCAAUCGAAUGAAACCGUACGAUGUUAUAAAGUGCAUUCAUGGCAUUAUACGGUCGAUUAGUGAUGAAAUGUCCCUCAAGCCUCGAGAAGUUUAGUAAAAGUCCCUCCGGCGCUGCGCGUCUCGUGGCUUUUACUAAACCUCUCUCGGCUUUCGGGUACUUUUAAUCACCAAUCGCCCUGAAUGCCAUGCUAUUACUUUAAUAUAAUUAAUAAUAUAAUGCAGUUUUAAUGCGUGCUUUUUUUCAUUGCCAUUGGCUUUUAAUAUUUUACAGCUAUAUUCAGAGGUUAAUAUGACAGCAGGAAUGGAUUGCUCAUUAAUUCGUAGUAGACAAGAAUGCAUGUGGUUAAACAUUUAUAUUUGACAUUUUCUUUUAUGUAUACGUACGUAUGCAAUGUUUUUCAUGUACUUGCUUAUUUUUAGUUGUAAUGUACACUUUAAUAUGUAAACCUUUUUCAAUUUUGAAUAAAUUAAAAUGUGUUACUCAA